Molecule: ribosomal RNA, 476 nt
Filed under: uncultured bacterium
Lineage: Bacteria
Description: partial 16S ribosomal RNA
Rfam family: Bacterial small subunit ribosomal RNA
Source: RNAcentral
GAUGAACGCUGGCGGCGUGCUUAACACAUGCAAGUCGAGCGAGUGAGUUCUUCGGAACGAUCUAGCGGCGGACGGGUGAGUAACACGUGGGCAACCUGCCUCAUAGAGGGGAAUAGCCUCCCGAAAGGGAGAUUAAUACCGCAUAAAAUUAUCGAGUGGCAUCACACGGUAAUCAAAGGAGUAAUCCGCUAUGAGAUGGGCCCGCGGCGCAUUAGCUAGUUGGUGAGGUAACGGCUCACCAAGGCGACGAUGCGUAGCCGACCUGAGAGGGUGAUCGGCCACAUUGGGACUGAGACACGGCCCAGACUCCUACGGGAGGCAGCAGUGGGGAAUAUUGCACAAUGGGGGAAACCCUGAUGCAGCAACGCCGCGUGAGUGAUGAAGGUCUUCGGAUUGCAAAGCUCUGUCUUUGGGGACGAUAAUGACGGUACCCAAGGAGGAAGCCACGGCUAACUACGUGCCAGCCGCCGCUGUAA